AUUGAAAAAUGUUUCGGAAUUUUUCUGAAACUUUCUGAAGUUUUCUAGAAGUUUCAAGAGCUUCCUAGAUUCUAAUUAUAUGUUCUGAAAUUUUCUGAAAUUUUCUGGAUUUUACUAGAAUUUUAUGAGUAAUUUUUUCAGAUAUACUG
Molecule: non-coding RNA, 149 nt
Organism: Caenorhabditis elegans
Lineage: Eukaryota; Metazoa; Nematoda; Chromadorea; Rhabditida; Rhabditidae
Source: Ensembl